GGGAAUUUAGCUCAGUGGUAGAGCGCUUGCCUAGCAAGCACAAGGCCCUGGGUUCGGUCCUCAGCCCU
RNAcentral lists this transfer RNA (68 nucleotides) under Cricetulus griseus (Chinese hamster). It matches the Rfam family "tRNA". Rfam says of the family: Transfer RNA (tRNA) molecules are approximately 80 nucleotides in length. Their secondary structure includes four short double-helical elements and three loops (D, anti-codon, and T loops). The record is from Rfam by way of RNAcentral. Lineage: Eukaryota; Metazoa; Chordata; Mammalia; Rodentia; Cricetidae.